UACGUAGGGUGCGAGCGUUGUCCGGAAUUAUUGGGCGUAAAGGGCUCGUAGGCGGUCUGUUGCGUCGGGAGUGAAAACUCAGGGCUUAACCCUGAGCCUGCUUCCGACACGGGCAGACUAGAGGUAUGCAGGGGAGAACGGAAUUCCUGGUGUAGCGGUGAAAUGCGCAGAUAUCAGGAGGAACACCGGUGGCGAAGGCGGUUCUCUGGGCAUUACCUGACGCUGAGGAGCGAAAGUGUGGGGAGCGAACAGG
RNAcentral lists this ribosomal RNA (253 nucleotides) under uncultured bacterium. RNAcentral's name for it is "partial 16S ribosomal RNA". It matches the Rfam family "Bacterial small subunit ribosomal RNA", at positions 524 to 776 of the family's 1533-position model. The record is from RNAcentral.